Molecule: non-coding RNA, 281 nt
Organism: Paramuricea clavata
Lineage: Eukaryota; Metazoa; Cnidaria; Anthozoa; Malacalcyonacea; Plexauridae
Source: the annotation of a GenBank genome assembly
CAUGAUGUUUGAAAGGCAUGGCUUAAAAUUUGGACGGGUACCCUGCAAUCGCUCCGGAAUAUAUUGCAAUGUUUGUUCACAAUAACGGAAUAAAAAACACGGAAACUUUCAAAGAGUUUACAGAAGCAAAAAAAAAUAAAAGAACUGCAAAAAAGAGUUACAAAAGCGAGAAAAAUAAGUGGGAAGGCGAAUAUAACUGAACAAGACGCUCUAUGGAGCGUUAACUCGCUGGGGCUAUACAAAUACGCACAUUACUGUAUAUGAUGCCAGAUACAGUACAC